Molecule: ribosomal RNA, 221 nt
Filed under: Escherichia coli
Lineage: Bacteria; Pseudomonadati; Pseudomonadota; Gammaproteobacteria; Enterobacterales; Enterobacteriaceae
Description: partial 16S ribosomal RNA
Rfam family: Bacterial small subunit ribosomal RNA
Source: RNAcentral
GCCCAGAUGGGAUUAGCUAGUAGGUGGGGUAACGGCUCACCUAGGCGACGAUCCCUAGCUGGUCUGAGAGGAUGACCAGCCACACUGGAACUGAGACACGGUCCAGACUCCUACGGGAGGCAGCAGUGGGGAAUAUUGCACAAUGGGCGCAAGCCUGAUGCAGCCAUGCCGCGUGUAUGAAGAAGGCCUUCGGGUUGUAAAGUACUUUCAGCGGGGAGGAA